GGGAGCCAGAGGAGAGGAGGCAGCUGCCUGGCAUGAGGUGAGGCAGCCUGCCCAACACCCGGAGGUAUGCCCACACGGCUCCCCACCCCUGCGACCCAGCUCUGCCAUCUUCCUCCUUAUUUCUGUCUGCCCAAGGGUGUCUCCCCACCUGCCUGCUCCCUUUUCCCCUGAGAAGACCUCAGCUGCAGCCCCUGCCUCCUUGGCCACGCUGGCCUUGUCCACAGCCCCUUGUUCAGCAGCUUGGACGGCUGGAGCCAUCUCC
This 262-nucleotide long non-coding RNA is filed under the name Homo sapiens (human). RNAcentral describes it as "HSALNT0258119". Lineage: Eukaryota; Metazoa; Chordata; Mammalia; Primates; Hominidae. The record is from RNAcentral.